GUGUCAGCAGCCGCGGUAAGACAGAGGGUGCAAACGUUGUUCGGAAUUACUGGGCGUAAAGCGCGUGUAGGCGGCCCUGCAAGUCGGAUGUGAAAUCCCACGGCUCAACCGUGGAAGUGCAUUCGAAACUGCAGGGCUAGAGUCCUGGAGAGGAAGGUGGAAUGCUUGGUGUAGAGGUGAAAUUCGUAGAUAUCAAGCGGAACACCGGUGGCGAAGGCGGCCUUCUGGACAGUGACUGACGCUGAGACGCGAAAGCGUGGGGAGCAAACAGGAGGAUAUACCAGCGGAUUAC
Molecule: ribosomal RNA, 292 nt
Filed under: uncultured bacterium
Lineage: Bacteria
Description: partial 16S ribosomal RNA
Rfam family: Bacterial small subunit ribosomal RNA
Source: RNAcentral